ACUACGGGAGGCAGCAGUGGGGGAUAUUGCACAAUGGGGGAAACCCUGAUGCAGCGACGCCGCGUGAGUGAAGAAGUAUUUCGGUAUGUAAAGCUCUAUCAGCAGGGAAGAAAAUGACAGUACUUGACCAAGAAGCUCCGGCUAACUACGUGCCAGCAGCCGCGGUAAUAGGUAGGGGGCAAGCGUUAUCCGGAUUUACUGGGUGUUAAGGGGGCGUAGACGGUUAUGUAAGUAUGGAGUGAAAGCCCGGGGCCCAACCCCGGGACUGCUUUGGAAACUGUGUAACUGGAGUACAGGAGAGGCAGGCGGAAGUCCUGGUGUAGCGGUGAAAUGCGUAGAUAUCAGGAGGAACACCGGCGGCGAAGGCGGCCUGCUGGACUGAAACUGACGUUGAGGCUCGAAAGCGUGGGGAGCAAACAGGAUUAGAUACCCUAGUAGUC
RNAcentral lists this ribosomal RNA (440 nucleotides) under uncultured bacterium. RNAcentral's name for it is "partial 16S ribosomal RNA". It matches the Rfam family "Bacterial small subunit ribosomal RNA", at positions 338 to 795 of the family's 1533-position model. The record is from RNAcentral.